ACUCUAUGAGUACAUCAGUACUUUUGACUUCCAAUCAAACGGUCUUGGCGAAAAUCUAAGAUAGAGUA
Molecule: transfer RNA, 68 nt
Filed under: Heterocentrotus mammillatus (pencil urchin)
Lineage: Eukaryota; Metazoa; Echinodermata; Echinoidea; Camarodonta; Echinometridae
Description: tRNA-Gly
Rfam family: tRNA
About the family: Transfer RNA (tRNA) molecules are approximately 80 nucleotides in length. Their secondary structure includes four short double-helical elements and three loops (D, anti-codon, and T loops).
Source: RNAcentral